RNAcentral lists this ribosomal RNA (461 nucleotides) under uncultured bacterium. RNAcentral describes it as "bacterial SSU rRNA". It matches the Rfam family "Bacterial small subunit ribosomal RNA", at positions 339 to 791 of the family's 1533-position model. The record is from RNAcentral.
AUACGGGAGGCAGCAGUGGGGAAUUUUCCGCAAUGGGCGAAAGCCUGACGGAGUGACGCCGCGUGGGGGACGAAGGCCUUCGGGUUGUAAACCCCUGUCAGAGGGAAAGAAGGGUGUCGGCGCGAUAACCGCCGGCAUCUGACGGUACCUUCAGAGGAAGCCCCGGCCAACUCUGUGCCAGCAGCCGCGGUAAGACAGAGGGGGCAAGCGUUGCUCGGAAUCACUGGGCGUAAAGGGCGCGUAGGCGGGAUGGCAAGUCAGUCGUGAAAUCUCUCGGCUCAACCGAGAAACGUCGGCUGAUACUGCCGUUCUUGAGGGAUGCAGAGGAGACUGGAAUUCCCGGUGUAGCGGUGAAAUGUGUAGAGAUCGGGAGGAACACCGGUGGCGAAGGCGGGUCUCUGGGCAUCUCCUGACGCUGAGGCGCGAAAGCGUGGGGAGCAAACGGGAUUAGAUACCCCGGU